CUUGUACAUCGUGUACUUCUUUAAAGCAUAAAGUCUGCCUGUAAAACACAGACUACCUGCUCCACGUACACGAACCAGCGAGUUAAAUUCUGGGAACUAAAACAAACAGCUUGGAGGUACGUCAUGUGACCACCACAGGAGCUUUUCAGAUUUAUGACAAUCUACGCAUUGAGAAUUCAGGUGGCCUAGCAUAUGGAGACUUUCAGGAGAGACCCACCCCGAGGAGAAUUAAUAACAGACAAGGAAGCCAAUGAAGUCUUAGAGUGGUUUGCAUCAUCGUGCCCUACUGGUUCCCUGAGGACGCACGUAAAAGGGCCUAGAGAUACGACCGCCCGUCAGAGCGCAACAUGAUGGCUGUCAUUCAGAAGUGAGACGAUGACUUCACUUGUGUCCUUACCCUGCUGAGAAGAAGACCUGAGACGUACCAGUGUCAACGGCACCGCCACGUUGCCAGCCUUAACGCAGAGGAGUGCGA
This is a long non-coding RNA of Onychostoma macrolepis, 475 nucleotides long. RefSeq lists it as uncharacterized. The transcript is spliced from 4 exons. The record is from RefSeq and is a predicted model, not a curated record. NCBI's taxonomy places the organism in Eukaryota, Metazoa, Chordata, Actinopteri, Cypriniformes, Cyprinidae.